GAUGAACGCUGGCGGCGUGCCUAAUACAUGCAAGUCGAGCGAACGGACGAGAAGCUUGCUUUUCUGAUGUUAGCGGCGGACGGGUGAGUAACACGUGGAUAACCUACCUAUAAGACUGGGAUAACUUCGGGAAACCGGAGCUAAUACCGGAUAAUAUUUUGAACCGCAUGGUUGAAAAGUGAAAGACGGUCUUGCUGUCACUUAUAGAUGGAUCCGCGCUGCAUUAGCUAGUUGGUAAGGUAACGGCUUACCAAGGCAACGAUGCAUAGCCGACCUGAGAGGGUGAUCGGCCACACUGGAACUGAGACGCGGUCCAGACUCCUACGGGAGGCAGCAGUAGGGAAUCUUCCGCAAUGGGCGAAAGCCUGACGGAGCAACGCCGCGUGAGUGAUGAAGGUCUUCGGAUCGUAAAACUCUGUUAUUAGGGAAGAACAUAUGUGUAAGUAGCUGUGCACAUCUUGACGGUACCUAAUCAGAAAGCCACGGCUAACUACGUG
Molecule: ribosomal RNA, 497 nt
Filed under: uncultured bacterium
Lineage: Bacteria
Description: partial 16S ribosomal RNA
Rfam family: Bacterial small subunit ribosomal RNA
Source: RNAcentral